AACGCACAUUGCGCCUCUUGGUAUUCCGAGGGGCAUGUCUGUUUGAGCGUCAGUACACACUCACAAUCUUGUGGUUUUGAAGGCACAGUCUUCUAAUGUCGUACGCUUGCGAACCGAAUACCAAUCAUAACGUAGUAAAUUCUCUCGCUAUUGAAAGGUAGGCGGCCGCCUGAAUCAAACUAAAGUUUGACCUCAGAUCAGACAAGGAUACCCGCUGAACUUAA
This 224-nucleotide unclassified non-coding RNA is filed under the name Hygrocybe sp. RNAcentral describes it as "partial contains 5.8S ribosomal RNA, internal transcribed spacer 2, and large subunit ribosomal RNA". The stretch from base 1 to 52 matches the Rfam family "5.8S ribosomal RNA", at positions 103 to 154 of the family's 154-position model. Lineage: Eukaryota; Fungi; Basidiomycota; Agaricomycetes; Agaricales; Hygrophoraceae. The record is from RNAcentral.